RNAcentral lists this ribosomal RNA (254 nucleotides) under uncultured bacterium. RNAcentral describes it as "partial 16S ribosomal RNA". It matches the Rfam family "Bacterial small subunit ribosomal RNA", at positions 524 to 776 of the family's 1533-position model. The record is from RNAcentral.
UACGAAGGGGGCUAGCGUUGUUCGGAAUUACUGGGCGUAAAGCGCACGUAGGCGGGUCGUUAAGUCAGGGGUGAAAUCCCAGAGCUCAACUCUGGAACUGCCUUUGAUACUGUCUAUCUUCGAGUUCGGGAGAGGUUGGCGGAAUUCCUAGUGUAGAGGUGAAAUUCGUAGAUAUUAGGACGAACACCAGUGGCGAAGGCGGCCAACUGGCCCGAUACUGACGCUCAUGUGCGAAAACGUGGGGAGCAAACAGG